GGGUCAGUAGGUUGGUCGUGCCACCGGUACGUACUGGUCUCACUGAUUCCUCCUUCCUGAAGAACCGUAAUGCCAUUAAUUUGGUGUUGCGGGGAAACAGGACUGUUACUUUGAAGAAAUUAGAGUGUUUAAAGCAAGCUAACGCUUGAAUACAUUAGCAUGGAAUAAUGAAAUAGGACGAUCGAUCCUAUUUUGUUGGUUUCUAGGAUUGACUUA
Molecule: ribosomal RNA, 216 nt
Filed under: Glomeromycotina sp.
Lineage: Eukaryota; Fungi; Glomeromycota
Description: partial small subunit ribosomal RNA
Rfam family: Eukaryotic small subunit ribosomal RNA (bases 40-216)
Source: RNAcentral